Small nucleolar RNA from Mesocricetus auratus (golden hamster), 131 nucleotides. RefSeq annotates it as small nucleolar RNA SNORA64/SNORA10 family. The transcript has a single exon. The record is from RefSeq and is a predicted model, not a curated record. NCBI's taxonomy places the organism in Eukaryota, Metazoa, Chordata, Mammalia, Rodentia, Cricetidae.
CAUCUCUCAGCUCCGCUGCAGCACACUGGUCCAGUGUGUGCUUGGCGUAUUAGGGGAGAGAGAGGAUGGCCCUCCUAAUGCACAGCAGACGUGCCCCAAAGUGGCCCUCUGCUCCCAGGAGUGCAACAGCU